GAUGAACGCUGGCGGCGUGCCUAAUACAUGCAAGUCGAGCGAACAGAUGAGGAGCUUGCUCCUCUGACGUUAGCGGCGGACGGGUGAGUAACACGUGGAUAACCUACCUAUAAGACUGGGAUAACUUCGGGAAACCGGAGCUAAUACCGGAUAAUAUAUUGAACCGCAUGGUUCAAUAGUGAAAGACGGUUUUGCUGUCACUUAUAGAUGGAUCCGCGCCGCAUUAGCUAGUUGGUAAGGUAACGGCUUACCAAGGCAACGAUGCGUAGCCGACCUGAGAGGGUGAUCGGCCACACUGGAACUGAGACACGGCCCAGACUCCUACGGGAGGCAGCAGUAGGGAAUCUUCCGCAAAGGGCGAAAGCCUGACGGAGCAACGCCGCGUGAGUGAUGAAGGUCUUCGGAUCGUAAAACUCUGUUAUUAGGGAAGAACAAAUGUGUAAGUAACUAUGCACGUCUUGACGGUACCUAAUCAGAAAGCCACGGCUAACUACGUG
This 497-nucleotide ribosomal RNA is filed under the name uncultured bacterium. RNAcentral describes it as "partial 16S ribosomal RNA". It matches the Rfam family "Bacterial small subunit ribosomal RNA", at positions 28 to 507 of the family's 1533-position model. The record is from RNAcentral.